RNAcentral lists this ribosomal RNA (371 nucleotides) under Crangon crangon. RNAcentral describes it as "partial 16S ribosomal RNA". Lineage: Eukaryota; Metazoa; Arthropoda; Malacostraca; Decapoda; Crangonidae. The record is from RNAcentral.
GUCUGUCCUGCCCACUGAUUUUUUUGAAGGGCCGCAGUAAUUUGACUGUGCAAAGGUAGCAUAAUCAAUAGUCUCUUAAUUGGAGAAUGGAAUGAAGGGUUAGAUGAAGCUAUACUGUCUUCGUUUUAAUUUUAAAAUUUUACUUUUAAGUGAAAAGGCUUAAAUAAAUUAAUGUGACGAUAAGACCCUAUAAAACUUUAUAAAUUUAUAUUUAUUUUGAAAUUUGUUGUUUAGAUAAAUUAAUUUAAAUUUAUUUUACUGGGGCGGUAGCAAUAAAAUAACUAACUGUUGAUUAAAUUUAAUACAUAUAUGUAGUUUUACUGAUCCUAUAUUAGAGAUUAAAAGAUUAAGUUACUUUAGGGAUAACAGCG